AGCUUAUUAGGAUAUAUAAUCCGUUGAAUUGUGGUUUCAAAAAUAUCUGUAAGAUAUAGGCUC
Molecule: transfer RNA, 63 nt
Filed under: Erpobdella octoculata
Lineage: Eukaryota; Metazoa; Annelida; Clitellata; Hirudinida; Erpobdellidae
Description: tRNA-His
Source: RNAcentral